Long non-coding RNA from Clarias gariepinus (North African catfish), 593 nucleotides. RefSeq lists it as uncharacterized. The record is from RefSeq and is a predicted model, not a curated record. NCBI's taxonomy places the organism in Eukaryota, Metazoa, Chordata, Actinopteri, Siluriformes, Clariidae. The transcript has 3 exons.
UGAUGUGGGCGUGGUCAGUGUGUGUGUGUGUGUGUGUGUGUGUGUGUGUGUGUGUAAGAGUAUAAAUAGAGAGCAGGAGAGACAGUCUGUCCUUUCUUUUCUCCGGACUCCUUCAGUCUGCAGGAGCAGAAACUCAGAGCGUUCAGGCUCUGCUGCUCCGAGAGGAUUUCUUCAGUCAUGUAGACUGCGCUUGCAUCUUAUCUUUCUUUAAAAGAGGAAGAGGAGUUAAAUCAUACCCUCCAAGGGGUGUGUCACUCAGUCCUUCUGUCCCCUGUGUCAGACCUCAUGUGGGGGCCAUGCCCUCCUGAAGAGGACCAGACUCCCCCUGCAGUCUGCACUCGGGGUCCAGCGGGUCUGCAGUGAACAGCGCCGGGUCAACCCUGACCUGCCAAUCAAAACAAGACUCCAGAACCAACCACAAAAACCACAAAACUCGAAACUCUCUCUGGGUUCUGGUGUCUGUUUAUUGGUUGGCAGGUUUUGUGGUUGUCCUGCCGUUGAACCGAAACCUAACAUUCAUCCCUUUAAGGCUGUACGCCAUUUUCCAACUUAACACAAAUAAUACAUAAAAACAGUAAAAUUAUGGAACAGAA